AACAGCCGCGGUAAUUCCAGCUCCAAUAGCGUAUAUUAAAGUUGUUGCAGUUAAAAAGCUCGUAGUUGAAUUUCGGGGUCAGUAGAUCGGUCAUGCCACUGGUAUGUACUGGUCUCACUGAUUCCUCCUUCCUGAUGAGCCGUAAUGCCAUUAAUUUGGUGUUGCGAGGAAUCUGGACUGUUACUUUGAAAAAUUAGAGUGUUUAAAGCAGGCUAACGCUUGAAUACAUUAGCAUGGAAUAAUGAAAUAGGACGUUCGAUCUUAUUUUGUUGGUUUCUAAGAUUGACGUAAUGAUUAAUAGGGAUAGUUGGGGGCAUUAGUAUUCAAUUGUCAGAGGUGAAAUUCUUGGAUUUAUUGAAGACUAACUACUGCGAAAGCAUUUGCCAAGGAUGUUUUCAUUAAUCAAGAACGAAAGUUAGGGGAUCGAAGACGAUCAGAUACCGUCGUAGUCUUAACCAUAAACUAUGCCGACUAGGGAUCGGAUGAUGUUAAUUUUUUAAUGACUCAUUC
RNAcentral lists this ribosomal RNA (510 nucleotides) under uncultured Rhizophagus. RNAcentral describes it as "SSU rRNA". It matches the Rfam family "Eukaryotic small subunit ribosomal RNA", at positions 569 to 1081 of the family's 1831-position model. The record is from RNAcentral. Lineage: Eukaryota; Fungi; Glomeromycota; Glomeromycetes; Glomerales; Glomeraceae.